UACGGGGGGGGCAAGCGUUGCUCGGAAUCACUGGGCGUAAAGGGUGCGUAGGCGGUCUCGCAAGUCUGGCGUGAAAGCCCAAGGCUCAGCCUUGGAAGUGCGCUCGAAACGGCGAGGCUGGAGUGCCGGAGGGGAGAGUGGAAUUCCCGGUGUAGCGGUGAAAUGCGUAGAGAUCGGAAAGAACACCAACGGCGAAAGCACUCUGCUGGGCCGACACUGACACUGAGAGACGAAAGCUAGGGGAGCGAAUGGG
This 253-nucleotide ribosomal RNA is filed under the name uncultured bacterium. Its description in RNAcentral is "partial 16S ribosomal RNA". It matches the Rfam family "Bacterial small subunit ribosomal RNA", at positions 524 to 776 of the family's 1533-position model. The record is from RNAcentral.